This 29-nucleotide non-coding RNA is filed under the name Mus musculus (house mouse). Lineage: Eukaryota; Metazoa; Chordata; Mammalia; Rodentia; Muridae. The record is from RNAcentral.
GUUGUUCUUGUUGUUUGCCUCUCUCUCUC